CAAAUCUUGGGGGCCAGUCGCUCUGCGCUGGUCUCACAUUAGCACAAGGUCGCAAGGCCUUGAUGUUUACGCUUGUUUGUUUGACAGAGUUAGUUGAGAAUUAAAUAAAGA
This 111-nucleotide unclassified non-coding RNA is filed under the name uncultured Glomeromycotina. Its description in RNAcentral is "sequence contains ITS1". Lineage: Eukaryota; Fungi; Glomeromycota. The record is from RNAcentral.